RNAcentral lists this ribosomal RNA (487 nucleotides) under uncultured bacterium. RNAcentral describes it as "partial 16S ribosomal RNA". It matches the Rfam family "Bacterial small subunit ribosomal RNA", at positions 28 to 507 of the family's 1533-position model. The record is from RNAcentral.
GAUGAACGCUAGCGAUAGGCUUAACACAUGCAAGUCGAGGGGCAGCACAAGGUAGCUUGCUAUCUGGGUGGCGACCGGCGCACGGGUGCGUAACGCGUAUGCAACUUGCCCUAUACAGGAGGAUAACCCGUCGAAAGACGGACUAAUACUGCGUAUGCUCACAACUUGGCAUCAAGUGGUGAGGAAAGAAAUUCGGUAUAGGAUAGGCAUGCGUCCCAUUAGCUUGUUGGUGAGGUAACGGCUCACCAAGGCAACGAUGGGUAGGGGAACUGAGAGGUUUAUCCCCCACACGGGUACUGAGACACGGACCAGACUCCUACGGGAGGCAGCAGUGAGGAAUAUUGGUCAAUGGGCGCGAGCCUGAACCAGCCAAGUCGCGUGAAGGAUGACUGUCUUAUGGAUUGUAAACUUCUUUUAUACGGGAAUAACAAGGGUCACGGGUGACUCCCUGCAUGUACCGUAUGAAUAAGCAUCGGCUAACUCCGUG